This 22-nucleotide unclassified non-coding RNA is filed under the name Mus musculus (house mouse). RNAcentral describes it as "oocyte_clustered_small_RNA2297". The record is from RNAcentral. Lineage: Eukaryota; Metazoa; Chordata; Mammalia; Rodentia; Muridae.
UUAGGUAAAUCCGAUCUGGGCC